This 348-nucleotide long non-coding RNA is filed under the name Physcomitrium patens. RNAcentral describes it as "long non-coding RNA (PPAT_LNC000736)". Lineage: Eukaryota; Viridiplantae; Streptophyta; Bryopsida; Funariales; Funariaceae. The record is from RNAcentral.
CCUUUGUUUCAACUCCUCAAGAUCUUUUUCUUUUUUUACCUUAAUUAGCUUUGAAAUCUCUUGGUCCUACUUCUUUCCUUCAAUUAUCAAUUUAAGCUUAAAAUUGCUUAAAUCCUAAGGCAUAUGUAGUGCAAUACCUCUUAUAGAAGGUCCUCAUAGUUUGAGAUCCUUUAGUCUAAGGUGGGACCACCUUCCUUCUACAUUUGAUCACAUGUUUUUUUUAUUUUUUUAUUGCUUUAUUUAAAAUUUAAAUGUCAAAUGGAAUUUAGACAAACAAAUAAACAUGUGCUUUAUCAAACUUUAUAGGCUAUGUGAGGUGGAAAGUAAGAAAAAUUGCUAGUAAUAGGU